UGUUAAAUGAAGGUGGUGAGAUGUACUGGAUUAAUCCCUGUGCAAAGAUAUCUUCAGAUUACUGGAAUGAGCACAUCAGCCUCUUGUGAGGUCUGUCUAAAGAAGACUAACAAAAAUUCAGUGCAGCGUCCUGAGAAGAUGGAUCGCAGCUCUGCAGUCACUGUCCAGGUGGGUCAGUGGGAGCAGAAGCCCUCUGCUGAUGUACAGGCUCUGGUCAGCAACAUCCAGCAAGACCCACACAGCCUCUGCCUGCUGGAGCUUUUUGUUUGCCUGUGACUGGAAAGUCAGAUUUCUGUUCCGGGGGUUGCAGCUCCCUGUGCUGGAGAAACAGCCUGGCACCUGCAGAGGUGCACGGUGAUAUGAUUGUGAGGAAGCAAAGCCCAGGAAGAAGGAAUCCCUGCAGUCCUGUUCUUUUAGCUCCAAGCCUGCUCAGAGGAAGCAGCAGACAGUUUGAGGGGUUUGGGCUCACAGAUGGUGACAGCAUGGAGAGACUGUGGUCCUUCCCUGAAGAACUGCAGGAGUCACAGAGGAGAUGAGUCCAUCUCACUGUCUGGACUUGCUGACUGAUGUUCUUCUGCACUGCAGGUGUAGCACAGCACUUACAGGCUGCUAACAUCUGAAUCUUUGAAUAACGCAGUAACCAAGCAAUACCUGUUACUGUUGUCUAAUAAGUGUGUAAAUCUUUAAUAUUAUUACCUGCUGCCCAUCUUAGAAGGAAUGUUCUUAUAGACAUGGAGUAAAAAAAUUGAAGAAUCUGAACUUCCUGUUUCCUGCUACAGAUGCUGACUGUGACCUCA
Molecule: long non-coding RNA, 797 nt
Organism: Archocentrus centrarchus (flier cichlid)
Lineage: Eukaryota; Metazoa; Chordata; Actinopteri; Cichliformes; Cichlidae
Exons: 4
Source: RefSeq, a predicted model, not a curated record